Homo sapiens (human) is the source of this 957-nucleotide long non-coding RNA. The record is from Ensembl. Lineage: Eukaryota; Metazoa; Chordata; Mammalia; Primates; Hominidae.
GAUUCUGCAGAAGUUGGGGCUCCUGACAACUUUGGGGUGGCCAUGAGGGACGUACCUCUUGCCUCUGGAUGUGCAGGGUACAACUUGAGCUCUCAUCUACAUAACUGAAGGCUGCACCCAGGGCUGUAAAGAGUGAAAAUGCAUUGCCGAAGCAUGAGCACCUCCUGCAGUUCUCAGUAGACAUUUGGGAAGCGAGUGAACCGCCCUGUAUGGAGUGUUUGGAGGAGGUCGGAGGGUGUCGGGCCUGAGCCAGGGGCUGCCCUGGGCCUGUGUCGGGUGGCGCAUGCCAGAGGAAUGAGAUGGGAAGGGCAUGCACGCGGGGUCUUGGCAGCCCUGGAGCUGGCCUAGAUGCAGCAGCUUUCUGAUAAAGCGAAAUUGUUCCAUCGGCUUGCCAUGCUUUGCUUAGCCAUCCGCACUUCACUGUUGGGCGAAAGAAGAUUUUAAAGAACACCCUUAGCAGAUGUCAGAGUUUGGGAUUUGGGGUCCAUGAUACCCAAAUAAGAUUCCACUUGAAGAAAGUAACACGAAUUGCUUUCAACACAUCAAUCAACAAAGAGCAUUGAUGGAUGAAGAGGACAUUGAUAAAUGGGAUGUCUUUUUGCUGAAACUCUAACUUACAGUAAAGGGGGGAAACUCACAGAAGCCCAGUGGAAGCUUCUGGAGCCAGGAGCUACACUGACUCUCUCCGCAGAGGGUGUGGAGGGGUAGGCGGCAGUCAGCCCCCAGCCCAGAGUGGAGGGCACCUGGGCACAUGUGUGAUCAGAGCCCACAUGGAGGGAGGCCAGGGUCCAGCUUCCCUUCACUCUGGGAACAUGGGAGGCCCUGUCCCCAGGCCAUGGCACACAGAGGGAGGAGCAGGAGCUCUGGCAGCCUCAGAGGUGUGUGCCAGGCCGCAGCCUAUUGGAAAUUCCUCAGGAGUGCAUGGCCUGGGGUCCCCCAGCCUGCGGGAGGCAGAGG